AACGAACGCUGGCGGCGCGCCUAAUACAUGCAAGUCGAGCGAGAAGACGUAGCAAUACGUUUGUAAAGCGGCGAACGGGUGAGGAAUACAUGGGUAACCUACCCUCGAGUGGGGAAUAACUAGCCGAAAGGUUAGCUAAUACCGCGUACGCUCCUUGGACUUCGGUUCAGGGAGGAAAGCGAUACCGUGGGUAUCGCGCUCUUGGAUGGGCUCAUGUCCUAUCAGCUUGUUGGUGAGGUAACGGCUCACCAAGGCUUCGACGGGUAGCUGGUCUGAGAGGACGAUCAGCUACACUGGCACUGCGACACGGGCCAGACUCCUACGGGAGGCAGCAGUAAGGAAUAUUGCGCAAUGGGCGAAAGCCUGACGCAGCGACGCCGC
RNAcentral lists this ribosomal RNA (381 nucleotides) under uncultured bacterium. RNAcentral's name for it is "bacterial SSU rRNA". It matches the Rfam family "Bacterial small subunit ribosomal RNA", at positions 29 to 400 of the family's 1533-position model. The record is from RNAcentral.